This 500-nucleotide ribosomal RNA is filed under the name uncultured bacterium. Its description in RNAcentral is "partial 16S ribosomal RNA". It matches the Rfam family "Bacterial small subunit ribosomal RNA", at positions 30 to 523 of the family's 1533-position model. The record is from RNAcentral.
AUUGAACGCUGGCGGCAGGCCUAACACAUGCAAGUCGAGCGGAUGAGAGGAGCUUGCUCCUCGAUUCAGCGGCGGACGGGUGAGUAAUGCCUAGGAAUCUGCCCAGUAGUGGGGGACAACGUUUCGAAAGGAACGCUAAUACCGCAUACGUCCUACGGGAGAAAGUGGGGGAUCUUCGGACCUCACGCUAUUGGAUGCGCCUAGGUCGGAUUAGCUAGUUGGUAGGGUGAAGGCCUACCAAGGCGACGAUCCGUAACUGGUCUGAGAGGAUGAUCAGUCACACUGGAACUGAGACACGGUCCAGACUCCUACGGGAGGCAGCAGUGGGGAAUAUUGGACAAUGGGCGCAAGCCUGAUCCAGCCAUGCCGCGUGUGUGAAGAAGGCCCUCGGGUCGUAAAGCACUUUAAGUUGGGAGGAAGGGCUUACAGCGAAUACCUGUGAGUUUUGACGUUACCGACAGAAUAAGCACCGGCUAACUUCGUGCCAGCCGCCGCAGUAA